RNAcentral lists this ribosomal RNA (317 nucleotides) under uncultured Enterobacteriaceae bacterium. Its description in RNAcentral is "bacterial SSU rRNA". It matches the Rfam family "Bacterial small subunit ribosomal RNA", at positions 355 to 653 of the family's 1533-position model. Lineage: Bacteria; Pseudomonadati; Pseudomonadota; Gammaproteobacteria; Enterobacterales; Enterobacteriaceae. The record is from RNAcentral.
UGGGAAGUAUUGCAUCAAUGGCAGGCAAGCCAUGACUGCAGCCAUGCCGCGCUGUAUGAAGAAGCCAAUUCGGGCUUUGGUUAAAGAUACUUUCAGCGAGGAGGAAGGUGUUGUGGUUAAUAACCACAGCAAUUGACGUUACUCGCAGAAGAAGCACCGGCUAACUCCGUGCCAGCAGCCGCGGUAAUACGGAGGGUGCAAGCGUUAAUCGGAAUUACUGGGCGUAAAGCGCACGCAGGCGGUCUGUCAAGUCGGAUGUGAAAUCCCCGGGCUCAACCUGGGAACUGCAUCCGAAACUGGCAGGCUAGAGUCUUGUA